Molecule: ribosomal RNA, 507 nt
Filed under: uncultured bacterium
Lineage: Bacteria
Description: bacterial SSU rRNA
Rfam family: Bacterial small subunit ribosomal RNA
Source: RNAcentral
GGCUCAGAACGAACGCUGGCGGCGCGCUUAAGCAUGCAAGUCGAGCGGCAAGGGCCUUCGGGCCCCUAGAGCGGCGGACGGGUGAGUAACACGUGGACAAUCUGCCCCCCGGCCCGGGAUAGCCCAGGGAAACCUGGAUUAAUACCGGAUGAGACGGGACCCGCGAUGGCGGGAUCCGGGAAAGGCGCUGCGGCGCCGCCGGGGGAUGAGUCUGCGUCCCAUUAGCUAGACGGCGGGGUAACGGCCCACCGUGGCGACGAUGGGUAGCCGGCCUGAGAGGGUGGACGGCCACAUUGGAACUGAGACACGGUCCAGACUCCUACGGGAGGCAGCAGCUAAGAAUCUUCCGCAAUGGGCGAAAGCCUGACGGAGCGACGCCCGCGUGAACGAAGAAGGCCGUGAGGUUGUAAAGUUCUUUUCGGGAGGGGGAACAACCGUGGCAGGGAAUGGCCGCGGGAUGACGUGAAUCCCGGAAUAAGCCCCGGCUAACUACGUGCCAGCCGCUGC